GGGUUAGUCGGGUCCUAAGCUGAGGCCGACAGGCGUAGGCGAUGGAUAACAGGUUGAUAUUCCUGUACCACCUAGUAUCGUUUUAAUCGAUGGGGGGACGCAGUAGGAUAGGCGAAGCGUGCUGUUGGAGUGCACGUCCAAGCAGUAAGGCUGAGUGUUAGGCAAAUCCGGCACUCAUAAGGCUGAGCUGUGAUGGGGAGAGGAAAUUGUUUCCUCGAGUCGUUGAUUUCACACUGCCGAGAAAAGCCUCUAGAUAGAUAACAGGUGCCCGUACCGCAAACCGACACAGGUAGUCAAGAUGAGAAUUCUAAGGUGAGCGAGCGAACUCUCGUUAAGGAACUCGGCAAAAUGACCCCGUAACUUCGGGAGAAGGGGUGCUCUUUAGGGUUCACGCCCAGAAGAGCCGCAGUGAAUAGGCCCAAGCGACUGUUUAUCAAAAACACAGGUCUCUGCUAAACCGUAAGGUGAUGUAUAGGGGCUGACGCCUGCCCGGUGCUGGAAGGUUAAGAGGAGUGGUUAGCUUCUGCGAAGCUACGAAUCGAAGCCCCAGUAAACGGCGGCCGUAACUAUAACGGUCCUAAGGUAGCGAAAUUCCUUGUCGGGUAAGUUCCGACCCGCACGAAAGGCGUAACGAUUUGGGCACUGUCUCAACGAGAGACUCGGUGAAAUCAUAGUACCUGUGAAGAUGCAGGUUACCCGCGACAGGACGGAAAGACCCCGUGGAGCUUUACUGUAGCCUGAUAUUGAAAUUCGGCACAGCUUGUACAGGAUAGGUAGGAGCCUUUGAAACGUGAGCGCUAGCUUACGUGGAGGCGUUGGUGGGAUACUACCCUAGCUGUGUUGGCUUUCUAACCCGCACCACUUAUCGUGGUGGGAGACAGUGUCAGGCGGGCAGUUUGACUGGGGCGGUCGCCUCCUAAAAGGUAACGGAGGCGCUCAAAGGUUCCCUCAGAAUGGUUGGAAAUCAUUCAUAGAGUGUAAAGGCAUAAGGGAGCUUGACUGCGAGACCUACAAGUCGAGCAGGGUCGAAAGACGGACUUAGUGAUCCGGUGGUUCCGCAUGGAAGGGCCAUCGCUCAACGGAUAAAAGCUACCCCGGGGAUAACAGGCUUAUCUCCCCCAAGAGUUCACAUCGACGGGGAGGUUUGGCACCUCGAUGUCGGCUCAUCGCAUCCUGGGGCUGUAGUCGGUCCCAAGGGUUGGGCUGUUCGCCCAUUAAAGCGGUACGCGAGCUGGGUUCAGAACGUCGUGAGACAGUUCGGUCCCUAUCCGUCGUGGGCGUAGGAAAUUUGAGAGGAGCUGUCCUUAGUACGAGAGGACCGGGAUGGACAUACCUCUGGUGUACCAGUUGUCGUGCCAACGGCAUAGCUGGGUAGCUAUGUAUGGACGGGAUAAGUGCUGAAAGCAUCUAAGCAUGAAGCCCCCCUCAAGAUGAGAUUUCCCAACUUCGGUUAUAAGAUCCCUCGAAGAUGACGAGGUUAAUAGGUUCGAGGUGGAAGCGUGGUGACACGUGGAGCUGACGAAUACUAAUCGAUCGAAGACUUAAUCAAUUUUUUAAA
Molecule: ribosomal RNA, 1558 nt
Filed under: Staphylococcus epidermidis
Lineage: Bacteria; Bacillati; Bacillota; Bacilli; Caryophanales; Staphylococcaceae
Description: partial 23S ribosomal RNA
Rfam family: Bacterial large subunit ribosomal RNA
Source: RNAcentral